CAACAUUUAAAUCAUCAGGGUCAGGAGACUUGUCAGAUUACAUUUGGAAAAGAGAUAGAAAAAGGGGCUAACAAAGAUUGAUUGUCCUCAUGAAAAAUGCAAGAACGAAUAUAAUCAACAUCAAUUACAUUUUUAGAACAAUCCGUUGAAAAUACACCCUUCAAAUAAUUUGUAGCAAUUCUGCCAAAGUCAUGAUGCUCAGAGAACAACACACCAUUUUUGUCUGACAUAGAGGUGAUGGAAUUUAUUUUCUUCUUGGUCGUGGCUGCAGAGUGGAAGAAUUUUGAGUUGAUAUCUCUCCCCUUGAGCCAAAAGGUUUUAGCUCGCUGCUUCCAAUACGCUUCUUCUUGGCCUAUGAGAUUAUUCAACUUGUUGUUUAUCUCUUUAUAACUUCUAGCAGAGGACUCAACUUGUGAAUUACGUAAGCAAGUUGCUGCCUACAGUCCUCAAUGGCUGGCCGAAAUUGAGUUCUAAUUUUCCUUCCCUAGAUAUUCAUAUAGUUGUGCAUGAUUUGAAUUUUUCCAUUACAUCGUUUGAGCAUGAAUUGAGCCAACCUUCGUGCACUAUCUUUUCUAAUUCAAGCUCAAGUAACCAGGAGUUUUCAAACCUGAAGUUGUUUUGAAAAUCCCUUCUUCCUGUAGAGUUGAGCUUUAGAAAGAUUCCGGAGUGUUCAGAUUUAGAUACAAUACCAUUGAUGGGUUUGAACUGGGGAAAGAUGUCAAUCUAAUCAAGAGUGGCUAAAGCCCUAUCCAACUUUUCUUCGAUGUAGUGUGGUUUUCCUUUUGUUUUUGCCCUAGUGUAUUUGUAACCCUCCAUUGGUAGAUCAUGGAGAUUACUAUCAGAGAUGGAGUCACGGAAUCCUUGAAUCAGCCAGUUUGCACGCUCAGAAUUACCAAUUUUUUCGUCAUUAAUUAGAAAGAAGAUCAUAUUAAUCUCCUAUAAUGCACUAGAGGGGAAGAGAGGAUGAAGAUAUAGAACAGAUGAGACUCCAUGAGUCUCUCCUUCUAUCACUUUCUGGGAAUCCAUAAAAACUUGUUAAUUGCCAACAAGGUUUUCCUGGAACUUGGACUUCAACAUUAAUAAAAUUUGUGGAUAAAUUUUGGAGGCUACAAGUAAAAGGUGUUUCCAAAAGAAAGCAAGACAACCGCUUCUACCAUUCGCGUUAACUGAAAAGCAAGAAUCAAAGCCAAUUUGCACUCUAAUGGCUUCAAUUCUUUGAGAGAGAACCAGAGUUUCAAAUAAGAAGAUAACAUAAGGAUGGUAAGCACGGAUAAGGUCUUUUAGUCUAGGAAUUGUGCAUGGGUUGUGUAGGCCCCAACAAUUCCAACUGAUGAUGCUUAUUGUCCCAGACAAACCCCCUCUGUCAGGGCUUGCCAAUAAAAAAGAUUGAGUAGUGGGAGAAGAAAGGAUUGGGGUGAAUUCGUUGGGAGGUUGAGGGUUAGGGUUAGGGUUAGUGUUUUGAGGGAGGCUACAUGUUGGUGAUGUGGCUAGGUUUGGACAUGUUGGUGAUGUGGUAUUCCUAUUGGUGUUUGGGCGUGAGGGAUUGGGGUAUUAAGAGGUUUGGACGUGGGGUUAUGUGAUGCGUUAAGCAUGGCUGAGAUGUGAGAGACGUUGAAUGGGGUUGGAUGGAAAGUCGUGGUUGGGAAAGUGUUUGUUGUUAAGGUGGUUCGAGCUAGGGUUGGGGUCUGGGGUUAGUUUCGGGUUUAG
RNAcentral lists this long non-coding RNA (1707 nucleotides) under Glycine max (soybean). RNAcentral's name for it is "long non-coding RNA (GMAX_LNC001709)". Lineage: Eukaryota; Viridiplantae; Streptophyta; Magnoliopsida; Fabales; Fabaceae. The record is from RNAcentral.